Molecule: RNA transcript, 6818 nt
Organism: Cyprinodon tularosa
Lineage: Eukaryota; Metazoa; Chordata; Actinopteri; Cyprinodontiformes; Cyprinodontidae
Gene name: metabotropic glutamate receptor 4-like
Exons: 12
Source: RefSeq, a predicted model, not a curated record
GCAGCGAGUAUGACCCUCAUAUGCUGCAGUUGUUCAAACAUUCUCCCAUUUAUCGAUGCCAUGUUUUCUCUCUGAUGAAGGCGGUGGGUUGGGAUUGCAUUUAACAUCAAUCACAUCCAGUGCAAGGAGCGCAUACAGUCUUCAGUCUAUCAGCUGGAGAGUGUAUGCUCUCGCCUCGGGUAUGCGCUUAUUUGCUGUUUUAUCCAGUAAAACAAAAGAAAAAUCUGAUGCCGUUUUGACUGAAGAAGCGUUGGAGACUGCUACUACCGGAGCUGUCCUUUAUUUCCUACUCGAACAAAGCCUGAAGUUGGGACUUGAGGAGUUUUCAGCACCACUUUUCCGUGGACAGCGCUCGCAAUGAGUCCGGGAGAUCGACGCAGUCUCGUAACGCGUUUGGAUUUCCGCUUAAUAUUAUUUAGCAACAGUGUUUUCUCACUGAAAACACAACCGUAGUUGUUCGGGAAAUCUUGUUUUCUCUUAUACCAACAUUAAAAAAACGAGUUGUUCCUUGGAUACGGGUCCUUCCACGUACAUUUGUAUUGAGCAUGAAAGCUGGGAAUUUGCUCUGAAGCCUGUGGACCUGAGACAGCCCGGGGGCUCUGACAUACACCAAAUCCCUGCCCAGGGGAAUGGGGAAGAUUAAAAACUUCUGAUUGAGGUGGAGAGGAAAGAGACACAAAGACAGGGAGGGAGAGACAGAGGAGGAAGAAAGCUUAUCGUUCACCUUUGUUCUUCCUAAUGCCCCAAGUGAAGGAACUCCAAAGAAUAACAGGGAACACAAAAACAGCUGCCCACAACAGUGGUGAGAGGAUGGAGUGAGUAAAAGAAAAGAUAGAAACAGGACUACAUUCUGAGAAAGAGUAAGGCUUAUAUUCUACUCUAAUUGAAUGCCUGUGAAAGCAGAUAGACACAAGAGAAAUGCCUUUUUGUGAAACCUGUUUCAAGAGGCAUUGCAGUUAAACCUCUGGCCAUCAUAAAAUAAUACCUGGCUAUUGAUUUUUCCUGACUGCUGGUGUGGAUGUGUGCUCGGACAGUGAUCAUGUUUUAUCCUCCAACGUCUAAACCUAAUCGGAAUGGCUGUCAGAGAAACAUCCACAUUCUGCUGCUGCUACUGCUUCUUCUGUACAGCUUCCUCAAUGUCUCUCAGGCUGCAAAACCCAAGGGGCCAGGACAAACGCACUUGAACUCCAUCCGCAUUGAUGGAGAUAUCUCCUUAGGUGGGCUAUUCCCGGUGCAUGCCAGGGGCCACGAUGGGAAACCCUGCGGGGAGCUUAAGAAGGAGAAGGGCAUUCACCGACUUGAAGCCAUGCUCUUUGCCCUUGACCGUAUAAAUAAUGAUAAUAACCUCCUGCCGAACAUCACACUGGGAGCAAGAAUCCUGGACACCUGUUCUAGAGAUACUCAUGCCUUGGAGCAGUCACUCACUUUCGUCCAGGCUCUGAUUGAGAAGGAUGGGACAGAUGUCAAAUGUCUUGGAGGGGGGGCGCCAAUUAUCACCAAACCUGAGAGGGUAGUGGGCGUCAUUGGAGCCUCAUCAAGCUCUGUUUCCAUCAUGGUGGCCAAUAUACUGCGCCUGUUUAAGAUACCACAGGUGAGCUAUGCCUCUACAGCUCCGGAGCUGAGUGACAACACCCGCUACGACUUCUUUUCCCGUGUGGUGCCUCCAGACACGUAUCAGGCCCAGGCCAUGGUGGACAUCGUUAAGUCCAUGCGCUGGAACUAUGUCUCUACUGUGGCCUCAGAGGGAAACUACGGAGAGAGCGGCGUUGAUGCUUUCAUUCAGAAGUCUCGUGAGGAUGGUGGUGUGUGCAUCUCACAGUCUGUUAAGAUUCCCCGGGAACCUAAACAGGGAGAGUUUGACAUGAUCAUCCAAAGACUUGGGGAAAAUCCAAAUGCAAGGGUUGUCAUACUCUUUGCCAACGAAGACGAUAUCAGGCGGCUUCUCCAUGCAGCAAAAAAGGCCAACCAGACAGGUCAUUUUAUCUGGGUGGGUUCAGACAGCUGGGGCUCAAAGAUCUCUCCGGUUGUGCACCAGGAGGAGAUGGCAGAGGGAGCCGUCACCAUCUUACCGAAGCGACAGUCCAUCAAAGGGUUUGAUAGGUACUUCAUCAGCCGAACACUGGAAAACAACAGAAGGAAUAUCUGGUUUGCUGAGUUCUGGGAGAACAACUUCAACUGCAAACUCAGCCGUCAUGCAGUGAAAAAAGGGUCUGGGCUGAAAAAGUGCACAAAUCAGGAGCGAAUAGGAAAGGACUCGCAUUACGAGCAAGAAGGAAAGGUGCAGUUUGUUAUUGAUGCGGUGUAUUCAAUGGCUCAUGCUUUACACAACAUGCACAAAGAACUCUGCCCUGGGAAGGUGGGUCUCUGCGCUAAAAUGGAUCCCAUCAACGGAACCCACCUGCUCAAGCAUAUUCGCCGAUUGAAGUUCUCAGGUAUAGCUGGAAACCCAGUGCUCUUCAAUGAAAAUGGAGAUGCCCCAGGGCGCUAUGAGAUCUACCAAUACCAGAUUAGAAACCGAACAGCUGAAUAUAAAGUCAUUGGUAACUGGACAGAUCAGCUGCACCUGAAUGUGCGUUCGAUGCAGUGGCCGGGUGGAGUCCGUCAGAUCCCGUCCUCAAUUUGCAGUCAACCCUGUCAACCAGGCGAGCGCAAGAAGAUUGUGAAGGGCAUUCCUUGCUGUUGGCAUUGUGAGCGCUGUGAUGGUUAUCAAUAUCAGGCAGACACAUACACCUGUAAAAUGUGUCGCUUUGAUUUGCGUCCCAACGAGAAUCACACUGGCUGUGUUCCAAUCCCCAUUGUUAAACUGGAAUGGAGUUCCCCCUGGGCUGUCAUCCCUGUGCUCAUUGCUGUCCUUGGCAUCAUGGCCACUUUGUUUGUGGUGGUCACGUUCAUCCGUCACAAUGAUACUCCAAUUGUGAAGGCAUCAGGCAGAGAGCUGAGCUAUGUGCUGCUAACUGGAAUCUUCCUCUGCUAUGCCACAACAUUCCUGAUGAUUUCUACCCCUGAUGUCGGAAUCUGCUCCCUCCGCCGGAUCUUCUUGGGCCUUGGGAUGAGCAUUAGUUAUGCUGCCUUGCUCACCAAAACCAAUCGUAUUUACCGCAUCUUUGAGCAGGGUACUAUGUCUGUUAGUGCACCCAGGUUCAUUUCUCCAGCCUCUCAACUUAUCAUCACGUUUACACUGGCCUCAGUGCAGCUGCUCGGAGUGUGCAUUUGGUUUGGGAUGGAUCCAUCCAAGGCCAUUAUCGACUAUGAAGACCAGAGGACAUCUAACCCUGUUUUAGCUCGUGGUGUACUCAAGUGUGACAUCUCGGAUCUAUCCCUUAUCUGUUUGCUGGGCUACAGCAUGUUGCUCAUGGUCACCUGUACAGUCUAUGCCAUCAAAACAAGAGGAGUACCUGAGACGUUCAAUGAGGCCAAACCUAUUGGUUUUACGAUGUACACAACCUGUAUUAUUUGGCUUGCAUUCAUCCCAAUCUUCUUUGGCACUUCACAAUCCACAGAAAAGAUGUACAUCCAAACAACCACACUAACCAUCUCUGUGAGCCUGAGUGCUUCUGUGUCCCUCGGGUUGCUCUACAUGCCCAAGGUCUAUGUGAUUCUUUUACACCCAGAGCAGAAUGUGCCAAAGCGCACUCGCAGCCUGAAGGCCGUGGUUACAGCUGCCACCAUGUCCAACAAGUUCAACCCGAAGGCUGGACUCAGACCCAAUGGAGAGGCUAAGACUGAACUGUGUGAAAGCCUGGAGACACAAUGAAAAAUAAAAACUUGAUCAGUCUUGCCUCUCUGCAUAGAUCUUUUUACAUUUUCCAGCCCAAAUUUGGCCUGAAAAGCCUUUUCCACAAAGCAAACCUACAUCAGUUACAGCAACCAUGCAAUCUAAGGGACAAAGGUUCUUAUCUCAAAUCAAGAUUUCCACCCCGGCGGAGAAAAAAAAUAUACAAGCAGUGGAAUUUCACAGCUGAAAAAAGAAAGUGUCAUUUUGCAGGGGAGAUCACACAAGCAUUGCCCAAAGACAUGACACGCUGAGGAGAAACCACAAAGAGGGGCGGAGAUGGACAAAAGAGACGAAGGGAAGGAUAACUGUACAAUUUUAAGGCUCCAUCCUCUGUCAAUCAGCAAAAGGUUACACACAUAAAAAGAAAAAAAAAAACAUUUGCACAGCAGAGGCCUAGAGACUGAAGGAUGGAGCUUUUCUUCAGUGUUUACAUUUCAGCUAUGCCGUGUUUCACAAGGAUCUGUCAUCUCAUGCAUUGCUGACUGGAAAUGAAUCCAAAUCAAGAAUAUGUUUUUAGUGUUAAAUAUAAAUACUUUAAAUUCAUCACAAGGGAUUAAUCAACACCAAAAAGGCAUGAGGACAUGAUCCAUGGAUUUCUAAAACUGGCUUCUUUUUGUUUUUAUUUAUUAUACAUUCCAGAUGGAUGACUCAGCUCCUUGGUAACAGGGAUCAUUUCAACAAUGCAGCAGAUAUGUACCAGACUACAUGUGUUUUUCUGUCCUCUUUCAGGGUCCAACUGGGUGUAAGAAGGAUCGCACUUACAUAAGAGGAUCUUUGCUGUUUUUGAGCAUGCCAGUUUCAACAUCCUGUAUUGUGUUGUUUACCAAAUAAAAUAAGGAUAAAAAAGAAGAAGAAACAAUAUCUUUGGAAUGCUUUUAAACUUUGUUGCAGCGUUGUUGAAAUUGUUUAGGCACAAGCCUAUUGUACGUUCAAAAAUCUGUUUUCAAUUGGUGAAAAGGUCCAGUGAGUGAUUGUUUAUCUGUGCUUAAGUAAGAUCAUAAUUUGUAUUAACAGCUAGCCUGAAAGGCUACCACUGCCCUCCCCAUACUUGUAUGUACUUUGAAACGGUGGACCUCGGUCUGUUUUUUUGCCGCAGAGUUCUCACUGUUAGCCGUCAUCCAGGAUGACCCUUUCAUCACUGCCAUCAGCUGCCCUCCUCGUCACAUGAGAAAAGUGUAAGGCUAAGCUUAGCUGUACAGAUCCAUUAGGAAGGGGAAUUAAGAUAAAGAGUGCCCUUGUGGGGACUGUACAGUUUGCCCUGAGGAUGAUAUCCAUAAUGGGCCAGCUACAGAGAAAAGUCAUUAUUAUACAUGUCUUCAGGCACUCUCGUGAUAAAAGGGAAGGAUAAGGAAGUUGUAAAGCUUUUUGACAAAUGAAAAUCAAAUUGCAAAAGAUAUGCUAUAUCUCUAUCAAUCCACCCCAAGCUCGCUGAAUUAAUUAAUAUUUGGCUUUGUGCAAAUAUGAAAACCCUCUGAUGUCUCGGAAAACCAUUGUGAAAUCAUUUGUUUUGUGAGUUCAGUGCUGCUUCUCAUGCCCUUUUUAUUACUUUCAACAUCAUUUGUGUUGCAGAAUAAAAUGUGAGUGCUGACCAAAUUAAAUGGCAAGUUAAUGUAUGUUAUUAAAUAGAUUGAUGAUGUCUGCUUUAUGUCCUGACAUAUCCUAAAAUUGAGGAAAAUGUACAAAAAAGAUGCAGUGCCUGGCUAUAUGAUUAUGUAUUUGUAAAACCUCAAGACAACUUAAGAAGUGUGUGAAGCAUGUUUAGAUUUUUUAUACAAAAUGUAUUAUUUCUAUUAAAAAUCUUUGAAAACCUCUGGGUUUAAUUUCAGCAUCUUGUUAAUAGCAACUGAUUUAUUUCUCUACUGAAUACAGCUUUACAACACAAAGAGAAAUUAAGUCUGCAUUUGCAAAAAAGAAAGUAAAAGAAAAAUGACUUUAGUUCCUUGAACAUUACUUUAGGCUCAGGUAAUGGCACCAUAAUAUUGUGAAUUAGUGUAAGAAAACAUAAAAUAAUUUUACAUCAACACUUAUCCUUGCCAAAAUCCAAGGCCUUAGAUAGCUGCAAGCUUUCUGCAGCCGUCAUCACUUGCCCUGCAUACAAAAGCUUGAAAAUAACAGUUGUUGCAUGUCCAAAGUACACAAUGACAGAAAUAUACAUGGGGUAGUGUACAUUAUCCUCCCACAAUACAAAAGAGAGACAGAGAGAGUUGUCUCAUGAAAUUAUAGGGUUUUGCAUAAUAUACCGUCACGACUCACUGCGGUUUAUGCAUUUAAAUGAAAGUGUUUUAAUAAAUCUGAAAACAUUGUCCUUUUAAAUGAUAAAAUUAAAUAUAGAAAACAUAUUGGAUGGAUUGAUAAAAAUACUAAUCAUUUGCUCAGGUAAAAUGAACAUUUAAGACUUAUCUCUAAAGUUGAAAUGAUCUUUAAACCAAACUCCUGAGUCAAAACAAAAGGUUGAAACAUUGAUAAUCAACUCAUUUUAAAGGUACAGACCAUCAGAUUAAAUCUAUGCUUUUUAAACAAAAACAACCUGUGAGACACAGUUAAAACUACAUAUGUACUUUCUAAAGAAUAAAUUGCCAUGUGAUAGUACUCUCCAGAAAACACCCACUGUCUAUGUGUAGUAGCUAUAGUUAAAGAAUAUUUUAGAUUUUAUGAUGAAUAAUUUCUUUCUAACAGAAAUUUGUCAACUUGAUGUUUGUUGCCUUAUUGGCAGCACAAAGAAGGAAUGCAGAAGCUGAGUGCGCGCAAUUGAUGUUAAAUGGUGUAAAGAUUGAAUCUUUACAGACUUACAAAGAAUAAUCUUUUUAUUUAUACGCAAAGUUUGCCCUAGAAUUAUAAAAGAAUAAAGAAUGUGUGGAAUUUCUGACAACUUGUGGCACUGGGAUGCUUUUUCUUUACAACAGCAUAAUUGAAUGUAUUUAAUAGAAAUCUAUUUCAAAAUGCAUAUCAGCGACAGAAGAAAUGUCAGAAUAAUCUUGUUGCUAUAUUUCAACUAUUCUGUAAAAAAAAAAAGAAAAUUAAACAGACAAAGGUAUGAAAGUGA